RNAcentral lists this ribosomal RNA (359 nucleotides) under uncultured Redeckera. Its description in RNAcentral is "SSU rRNA". It matches the Rfam family "Eukaryotic small subunit ribosomal RNA", at positions 734 to 1092 of the family's 1831-position model. Lineage: Eukaryota; Fungi; Glomeromycota; Glomeromycetes; Diversisporales; Diversisporaceae. The record is from RNAcentral.
GGGGAGGAAUCAGGACUGUUACUUUGAAAAAUUAGAGUGUUUAAAGCAGGCUAACGUCUGAAUACAUUAGCAUGGAAUAACAAUAUAGGACGGCUGGUCCUAUUUUGUUGGUUUCUAGGAUCACCGUAAUGAUUAAUAGGGAUAGUUGGGGGCAUUAGUAUUCAAUUGUCAGAGGUGAAAUUCUUGGAUUUAUUGAAGACUAACUACUGCGAAAGCAUUUGCCAAGGAUGUUUUCAUUAAUCAAGAACGAAAGUUAGGGGAUCGAAGACGAUCAGAUACCGUCGUAGUCUUAACCAUAAACUAUGCCGACUAGGGAUCGGACGAAGUUAAUUUUUAAAUGACUCGUUCGGCACCUUACG